This 758-nucleotide ribosomal RNA is filed under the name uncultured archaeon. Its description in RNAcentral is "bacterial SSU rRNA". It matches the Rfam family "Archaeal small subunit ribosomal RNA", at positions 102 to 859 of the family's 1478-position model. The record is from RNAcentral.
CGAUAACGUACCGUAAAGACCGGGAUAACCUUGGGAAACUGAGAGUAAUACCGGAUAGGGAACGGGGUGUGGAAUCCUCCCAUUCCAGAAAGAUCCGUCGCUUUACGAUCGGUCGGCGGCCCAUCAGGUAGUUGGUGAGGUAAUGGCUCACCAAGCCUAAGACGGGUAGGGGCCAUGAGAGUGGUUGCCCCGAGAAGGACACUGAGAUACUGGUCCUAGCCCUAAGGGGUGCAGCAGUCGCGAAACCUCCGCAAUGCGCGCAAGCGUGACGGGGGGAUUCUGAGUGCUUACGGUUUAACCGUAGGCUUUUCGUUAGGGCAAAUACCUAGCGGAAUAAGUGGUGGGCAAGACUGGUGCCAGCCGCCGCGGUAACCCCAGCGCCACAAGUGGGAACCACGUUUAUUGGGUCUAAAGCAUCCGUAGCCGGUUUGGCAAAUGCCCUGUGAAAUCGAUUCGCUCAACGGAUCGGCGUGCAGGGUAGACUACCAAACUAGGGACCAGGGGAGGGAAGCGGUAUUCCUGAGGGAGCGGUAAAAUGUGAUAAUCUCAGGAGGACCACCGAUGGCGAAGGCAGCUUCCUAAAAUGGAUCCGACGGUGAGGGAUGAAAGCUAGGGGAGCGAUCCGGAUUAGAUACCCGAGUAGUCCUAGCCGUAAACGCUGCAUGCCAGAUGUUGCGCAAUCUUCGAGAUUGUGCAGUGUCGAAACGAAGGUGUUAAGCAUGCCACCUGGGAAUUACGGUCGCAAGGCUGAAACUUAA